Molecule: long non-coding RNA, 209 nt
Filed under: Mytilus galloprovincialis (Mediterranean mussel)
Lineage: Eukaryota; Metazoa; Mollusca; Bivalvia; Mytilida; Mytilidae
Source: RNAcentral
UUUCAGCAAAUUUUACGAAUGAAAAAUACAUAUUUUAACGAGGCUUCUGUUGAAACAACAAAAAAGGGAAUGCUUGAAGAAAUCUGUUAUCAUUUGUUAUUUAUUUUUCUAGUACAUUUUUGUUUCUGGUGAGACAUAGUUGCCUGAUCCAAAUUAUGAUGCCAAUUUUCUGUUUGAACAAAACAAACAAAACAAAGAUAAUACCGGGC